CCACGUCACCCCCCUUAACCUCAUGCACGUGUUUUUCUAAUCUUUUCUAUAACAAAAAGGAAGAAAACAAAAAAAAAAAAAGAGGGUCCCCACAGAAGAUGUCAUAUCCCUGACCAUUUUAUCAUAUAAAAUAUAUAAACACCUUCUUCUCACAGAAACGUGGGGACCUCCAUAGACCUUCAUGGAAUGAAAUAAGGGGAACCCAUGUGCAUACAAGACCUUCCCAGAAUACCCACCCAUAAACAAAAUUUUCCACCCAGCAACAUGAUUGAACAGACAUACCCUUUUCUUCAUAUAUCAAUACAUACACAUCAGGGAUAAAAUGAAAAAGGAGAUACUCAAUCACUUGAUUCUCUUUCAUUCACCACCGUACACCCAUAUACUACACUCAAAAAUCUCGCACACACACACACAUAUCAAACAGAGAGACAGGUGGAGAGUAGCGAAGGGAGAGAGAGACUAGAUCGAGAGGCACUGUGGGUUAGCACUUUCAGGCGAACUCAUCGCCAAAGGGACUGAUUUGGUCAUUUUCUGUUUCUAUGGGCUAAAAAUCCACUACGUUCCGAAUACAUUCUAAAAUCCCUAUAUUCCUCUUUGAUUUCUGAGUUGGAUCCGUCAGAAAACAACAAGGUUCAUUGGAAACCAUCUCGGGUUGUCGUUCUCUGCAUUCAUCUCAGCUCAUCGGAGCUUAAGCCACAUUAUUUUAGUCUUUAUUCUACAUUUCUGAGGCUUUGGGUUCGUCUUCCUCUCGGUUCAUUUUCGAUACCGUGCAUUGGGGUUUUUUUAGGUUUGUCUGAUUUUGUAUUCUAUCAUCGGGAUCGAGCUUUGGGGAUUCAUCGAUUUUUUCCUGUUUUGGGUUUUUAUUCUUGGUUGAAAUCAGAUCAGUUGGUACUCUUGGAUUAUUGGUUUGGUGAGUUCGUUGUUGGGGUUCCGUGUUGGAGGCUUUCGGUCUCGGACUUCUUUAUUAUCUAUGAGAACGUUCUAUUGAGGUCCAUUUUUUUAACCCGUUCUUUUCUUCAUUUUGAUUGAUUGCAUUGUCUAUGGUUACGUGUUGGUUGAUUAUGAUGACUUGAUUUCAUUGAUAUGAUUUGGUUGUUUAAAUUCGUUACUAAAAUGAGCAUGGAUUGUUGAAAUGGUGAUUGCUAUUUGUGGCGUUUAGAAUGGAUUUGGGUCAGAAAUCAAAAAUUGAUAAAAGUGAAUAUUAUGGUAUUUUGAUUCAUUGUUGAUGUUGAACGUUAUAUGUCAUCGAGCGGGUAGGCAAACGAUAGGCUCGGGUAGGCAAAAUUUAAAAUUGGUGGAUUGUUGGAAUGUUUGGAAUAUUUGUUGGAUGUUUCCUAGUUUAUCGCAUGAAAUUGACAUUGUAUUCAUUUGCCGGGGAAUGCCCCAAAGGAAUUGUAUUUGUUCACCGGGGAAUACCCCAAUGUACUAUGUUGGUGGAAGGCGUUCGAGAGGAAGGCCCGAGGCGUCGGGUAAAGCGCGGGAGCAUAUUUAGUAUUAGUAUAGAUUAGAUAGGAUUUAUCUUAGCAUUUUUCUAUUUUGGACUGUAUAAAUUGGACUGGACACUAUAUUUUGAUUCGUUUUGUUUUGUCUAUUUGUUUGCUUGUUUUACGUGUUUUGUAUGGUUUGUACAUUCAUAGUGUCUAAUUAGCCGUUACGCUCCACCAAACGACCAUGGUCGAACCAUGGGAUCGAGGGGUGCCUAACACGUUCCCCUCAGUCAAUAGAAUUUCUUAGACGGAAUCUCUGUUUGCAAAUCAGUUUUAUAAGAGUCAAAACAAUUUUGAAAAGGAUUUUCCAAAGGUGACUUGGCACACCAAAUUAUGUCAAUUGGCGACUCUGAGUUUAAAUGUAAAUAAUCCUUUUCGAAACAAAAUCUUCAUUUUUUUCACUUUGAUAAUAAAAACCCUUUCAAACUUUAAAAUAAAAUUAAUUUUUUUGGAGUUAAAAAAGGGGUGUGACAGAUCUAGUGACUCUGUUGGGGACUUUACAGAAUUUGAGCUUAUUUUGGAGUUGUAUCGUCUUAGUUUGGCACUAUAGGUGUAUAGACAUUUUUUUGUGUUGUUUUGUGUUAUUGUUUAUCAUUGUUGAGUUCCUGCAUGCUCUUUGUUCACAGUUUUUACUUUAUAUGUUACCGCUUUAUAUCUGGCAUCAUGUGCAUAACACAAGUCUUUCUUUCUGCAACAAGUCCAUAGUACACAUGUGUACACGACCUAUAGUUGAGUCACCCUUAUUUUAGGAGGGGGAGCUGUUGGGUUGUAUGGAGUAGGUGGACAGCUAAAGCAAUCCACUAUCGACCAUAUGCUCCCCCGAACACCUUAUUAGUGGACCCCAGCGUAGGUCGGCCUUUAGGUCAUGCUUAUCUGCAUCAUAUUGAGAUCUAGCGGGACCCACGUGGACCUUUGUAGGAGACUCACCUCUAAAGCAUCCAUACGUGCUAAACGUUGCAUCUUUGAGGGUAACGUGGUCAUUUGACGGACUGAUUUGGGGAAAGCAGGUGUUAGAAGUAAAGGACGUACGCAAGAAUUGUUGAAAAAAAUAGAUGAACAAGUGAGUCGAAAAGAAAAAAAAGAGUUUCGUAGUUCUUAGAGUUUUUUUAUGGCUUUUGUUUUUCACAAUUCAAAAAUUCAAAAAGAUUUUUUUUAAACUUUCGCACUCAUUUUCUCAAAAACAUCAAAAAGAUUCUCCUUUGUCUCGUUUAACAUGCAUUCACAAUUCGAAAACUUCAAAAAAAAAAAAAUUUAUUCAUAGGAGUUUUUAUUAAAUAAAAAUGCAAAAAAAGAUGUUAGAAAUUUUUUACAUUUCGUAUAACGAAAAUACCAAAAAGAUUUUUCUUUCAUAGUUAAUGAUAUCAUUUUUCUGUGAAGUGACAAAAUGAAAACUCAAAAGAUUUUAUUAACGUGGUUCAUCGUCCGUCUUUGGUUGUAUCUCUUAAAUCAGGGUCUAUCUUGUUAUUUAAUCCUUAAUUGUUCAAUCUGGACGAACUACGGACCCCUGAUUCUCCUCUUUCGGGAGUGAGAUACGUAGCCUAUUGUUGGUUCGGGGAUCUUAUAUGAAAAAAAUCCAAAAAGAUUUUCUUAACUCUUUAUUUAGAGUAAGUGUUUCAUGUACAUCUUUAAAAGAAAACUGCAAAAAGAUUUUCCUUUAAUAGGUUCAGUGUAACACCCUGUAUUUUCAGGCUAGAGUUUAGACCGUCGUUCCUACGUAUAUAGACCCGAACUGAAUUAUUCUUUAUUAACAUAUGUGUGGUAAUCACUCCUAUCGUAAUGCCCCGUAAAAUUCUCGAGUCGAUUUUAUUUUUAGUGUUAAGUUUGAGGGGCUAACAACUAGAAUAUUUUUCUAAGUGUAGAAUUAAGACUUAGAUUUAUUUUUAACUCUUAAUCUUCGGGAUACAACUUUUCAACCUUCCUGACAUCCAUUUUUAGAUUUUAAAGUUGCAUUAUGAUUGGUAAAGCUCAUAGUACGUCUCGGAUAAGUUUCAGAAUUUUUUGGAAUGCAUAAGGCUGCGCUUGGAUUUCAAAACAGUAGCAAAACGCAUAGCCUAUUGCCCAGUUUUCAGCAUUUUAGGGUCAACUUCAAACGAUCAUAACUCUCUGAAUAUAAUGGACUAGGAGAGCUGCUACUUAUCAAAUGAAAUAUAUUUGAGUCUUAUUUCCAAUGCAACUAGUUUCAUCCAAAUCCAAUAGCUGAGUAAUGAGUUAUACCUAUUUUACUUCAGCCUGUCAGCUCGUCAACUGAGGGAUAGUUUCGACUUUGUUUGUUUUCUUAGGGGUAUUUUAGUCAUUUCACCUCACCCAAAUUUAGUAUAUAACAUCAGAUUUAGCCCCCAAUUCAUCAAAAUAUAAUCCUUUUCUCAAAUUUUCUCUCAAGAACACUCCUUAGGGUUUCAAAAUAAAAACCCAAGCAACUCAAAAUUCAACCGUGGGUUUUCAAAACAAAUUGAAGAUUUGGAAUCCCCUUAACGUAGGCUUCAAGAAGCACCUAAUAUUUUCACAUAUAGAGGUACGUGGGGUUAUCCUAAAAUUCUCAUGGGCUUUAAAAAUUCAUGUUUUCAAAUGGGGGUUUUGAAAUUACGAAUAUGAUUAUGUUUUAAAUGUUUUAUGAUAUCGAUUUGGUCUUUAGGCCUAUUCCCAAAGUGUUUUGAUAUAUGAUAUAUGUAUAUGCAUGUAUUCCAAAAAGAUGUUAACUUGAGAGCAUGAAUUAUAUGAAAUCCCUCUCUUGAUAUGAUUUUGUUUAAUAUUUCCAUAUGAUGUGAACUAUUUGAAAUCAUAUUGAAAGGCAUGACAUGAAAUGUUUUGAACAUUGUUAUGAUUUGGGCAUGAUUUUUGACUUACCAUGCGAGGGUUAUCAUGUUGAAAUAUGUUGAAUAAAAUGGUUGCAUGAUAGAAUGAUAUGGCAUUGAUGGCUUGAAAGUCGGGUAUGACGAUACCCUACAGAGUAUGUUAUGUGAUUGAAUUAAUGAAGUUUGAAUGCAUUGAUUUUCAUGAGAAAGGUGGAUACCCGAAGAAGGCGUUUGAGUGCAAGGGCUCAUCGCUGGAAACCGUAGUUGCCGAUGUGGGUUAUAUGAUAUUGUAUCCUACAUGGGAGGAUUAAUAAAAUUAUUUGGGGGAUCUCACAUGGGGGAUUCCCGCGGUGUGCUCACAUGGGGGUAUCACUGGCUCCAAAUCCUAGCGGAUACUUGGAUUGGAGGCUCGGCCGUCGAGCUAAAAGGUGGAUUCCACAUAAACGUGGAAUUACAAAUUGUAAGGUAUUCCACCUAGCUCAAAUACAUUGCAUUGGUGUUGAAAAAUCAUUACAAUAUGCCCAUGUGUUUUCAAAUUAUUUGAUAUGAAACUGCUUUAUAAUAGCUCUCACCUAUAUUUGGUAAAAAUAUUAUAUUUUGUUUUGAUAUCUCUGCGUACCAGUACUUUUGUAUUGACCCCCUUCCUCCCAGGUUCGGAGGCACAGUCUAGGGGUCCAGAAAAUCAGUAGAUUCCUCAGACAGUGUUGCAGAGUCACUUGGUGAGCCUUCUAUAUUUCAGAAGGCCGAAUAUCUGACAGUUUCAUUUAUCAUUUAUUAGUUUUGGGUCUACUGGGGGCCUUGUCCCAGUUUUUCAGAUAGUUAUUUAUUUCAGUCAUGUAGUAGAGAUUUCGUAGACGUUAUCGAGAUGUUGUUUGAGAUUGUGGGACAUUAUUUCCUAUUAUUGCUUUCAUUUGAUUCUUGACCAUGUUUCUGUAUUAUUGUUUAUCUUAUGCAUUUCUAUCAUCAUAUGAAUUAUGUGCAUGAUUACCAAACAAAUAGGGGUGUUUUGGGCAUUCAUGGUUCGAAAUGCUCGUCACGGCUAGGGCCUCAGUUCGGGUCGUGAUAUUCAGGUUUCAUUUUCAUAUGAAAUUUAAAACUGAAACCUCCCCCCUAAAAAAAGAAAAAAAAAAGAAAGAAAACAAAGAGUUCAAUUGGCCAUUUUGGCAAGACUUCACGAACUACGCACACCUGAUUCUCCCCUAUCGGGGGUGAGAUACGUAGGCCCCCUUCUUGGGUUCGGUGAUCUUUUCAAAAAAAAAAAGAGGUUUUGAAAAAGGUUGAAUUCUAACAUAUUUGUUGCCUUUUGUUCAGUUAGUUUAAGGUGGUUGGUUUGUGGCUUCCUGGAUGGUCCUCUAUAUCACACCAAAUCCAAGGAAGGUUUAGUUGUGUCCAACAAGGAUAUAGAGAGUGACACCAUGGAUGAAACAAAGAGUCAGGAAAUUAAGAGUUUAAAAGAAGAUAGAAUUUGAGAUUGAGACAACAAAUGAUGGAAAUGUACCGAGCUUGGGCCAGUGGGCUUCCUCCACCUCCAUUCCCCACUUUUGACCCUGCAAAUACCUUUAGUCUUCCAUCGAAAUCUCAAAGUCAGUUUCCUACUGUUGUUGGUGCCACAGCAUGCCUCAGAAUUCAUUCCACAUCAAAUGCACCUCAAUACUUCCACCAUCUUUCUUUAGCACCUCAGUAUAAGUCGACUACAUUCACAACACCACAUACCGUCUGUGCUUUUGUUGCUCAACCUUCUACUAAGACUUCCACUUUGGCUAUCAAUCCAAUGAUUUUGCUUCCCUAAUCAACUAGUGAAUCCCCGUUCAAUACUCUUGAUGAUCAUUGUUAUACUCUUGAGCCUACCGUUAAAUUAAGUGGACUGCCAGAAUUUCUUACUAAGAAGCCUAGUAUGCUAGAAGAGCUAGAGAAAGUGGUUGGGAAAGUUAAGAGUGUAGAAAAUAAUAUGAAAAAUUCCCCUGGACUUAUGGGCUAUGAAGAUGUUUCAUAUAAAAACUAGGGCAAGUCUUCAAGUGUUAACCUUCCUCCCAGCUUUAAGACAUCAAAAUUUGGGGAGCCUGAUGGACAGAAGGAUUCGAUGAAACAUUUGGGACGACAUUCCAAUCAACCAAGGGAAACUGAAGGAAAGAAGAAGGAAAACGCACCUAUUGUCAUGCCAGGGCCAAAGCAGAGUUUGAGAGGUCCAACCCACCAAUACUAUCAGCCUCAAUCCUAAGCUUACAUAUUAGAUCCACAUAACUAGUUGCAACAAAGUUUCUUUCCCCAAAAUCCAAGAAAUUCCAUUCCACUUCCUUAAUAUCCUUUGAACAAUGCACAAUUGUAUGAUUAUCCAUCUUCUUAUCCACAACGGCAUGCACCUAUACCUCAACAUCAUCCUCGACCCCCACAAAUUUACCAAGGAGCCUCCAAAUCCAAGUUUCAUCCAAGGCCAGAGUUCGCAAAAAGGAGGAAGGAAAAAGAUAAUUUCACUCCUAUUGGGGAAUCCUAUGCCAGUUUAUCCCACAGAUUGGUACAGUAGGGCAUGAUCACUCUUCUCCUUGGGUAUACUUUUGACCCAUAUUCAAGAAGUUUUGAUCCUAAUGUAAGAUGUGCAUAUCAUUCUGAUAUUCAGGGUCAUAGUAUUGAAGAUUUUCGUGCUUUGAAAAGAGAAACUGAAAAGAUGAUUCAAGAUAAAUCAAUUAUGGUGCAGAACAUUGACAAUGAGGAAAGCUCUAGUCAUGAUGAUAUGCAAACCAGUGGUUAAGAUGUCAGAGAAAUUGAGAAGUCACUCCUCCCUACUAGGAAGAGGUCUGGUGGUUUGUUUUGUUUUAUUUUUUGUUAUCCGAAUUAUUUUAGGGUUGUAGUUCGAGAUCUAUCUUGUUUUGUCCCUUUGUUGUUAUGUUCAAACCCUUCUAUCUUUCAUUUUUUUAAAUAAAGUAUCCCAUUUUUCUUUGUGUUUUAAAUAUAUGUUGUUUGUUUGUUUUCUUUACUUAGUACAUUUUAUGUUGACUCUAGUGACAUGGCAUGCUAGUAAAAUUUACAGCCAGAUCUUAAAAUCCAGUUUAAGCAUGAACAUUGAUCAAAGGGUUAAAGUUAGAAAAGAGAGUAUCUGAGAAAAUAGAUAGAGUGUUAGGGCAUUUGGUGAUCAAGUUGAAGCCUUCUUUGAAAAUUAAGGCUAUUAUUUUGAGAAUCGUGAGAAUAACUUGGUCACCAAUUGAAAGACAUAUCUUAAUUAGGUCAAGUAGUGAAUGUGUGAUCCUAUGUCAAAACAAAAAGGAAGAAAAUUAGCUCCACGAAGUCAUGAGUCCUUCAGCAUGAGGAAUGUACAACAAAGUGAAGUUGUAUGUUGGGCAAGUGUAGAAAAAGAGGUGGAACACAUGCUCGGGGAAAGUUAGUGUUGUAAAAUAUUUCAUAAGUGAUCUUGAUCGUGCACUUUCGUAUUGCAUGCUAUGUACUAGCAGUCCAUACCUCUACUUCCUUAGAGGUAGAGGUAUGGACUGCAUACAUCUUACCCCCCCCCCAGACCCCACUAGGUGGGAAUACACUGGGUUUGUUGUUGUUGUUGUUGUUGUUGUUGUUGUUGUUGUUGAUAUUACGAAGGCAUUUCAUUCUGCUAUCCAAACAUUGUGUCAUCUUUUGUUUACCCCAUUUGGGACUUAGUGUUAUUAUAUUUCAUACCCCUCUUUUGGAAUCAAGAUAGAGUCAAUAAAAUUCAAAAAAAAAUGUGUCGAAAAAGGAAGAAAAAAUGAGUGUCAAGAAAAAUAAAGUCAGAAAAGUCCCAAAGAGAAAAAGAGUCAACAAAAGAAAAAAAAUAGAAUCAAGUGAAAGAACAAGAUUCCAGAACUACACAUGGCCUGAUUCUCCUCUUUCGGGAGUGAGAAACAUAGGCUACCCUACUCGGGGCUCGGUCCAACCAAAUAAACAAUUUAGAAUUGCCCAGUCAAAAGAAACUGGGGCAUAAGUUAAUCCUCAUUGUUUAAGUCGAUUCCAAAAGUUGCAAGUCCUACCCCACUUUGAGUGUUGUUUGGGCCUCAUGUCAUCCUUUUUUUCUAACCUUAUCCAAAAAUAAGUUACAAUCAAAGAAAGUCCUUCAGAUCAAUCUUUGAUAAUAUUAAGGCUAAGCAUGCAAUGGAUAUGAUAUGCAUUUUGGGGUACUACUUGUCUUCCUUAGAAUAAGAAAUCAGGAAAGAAAUAAAAAUAAGAGAGUCUUAUUGGUGAAAUCCCCACGGGCCCCAUAAGAUGAUGGUAAGUUGAGAGAGAUAAAAUGAGAGGGUCUUAUCAGUGAAAACCCUCACGAACACUGUAAGACGACUGUGAGUUGAGAGAAAUGAAAAUAAGAUUAAUCUUAUUGGUGAAAAACCCUCUCGGAUACCAUAAGGCAAUGGUGAGGUGAUAAAAAGAAAUGAGAGAGGCUUGUUGGCGAAAAUCCUUCAAGGCACCACUAGCUGAAUGAGGUCUCUAAAUACAAUUAACUCAACAACAAUUUGUGAGAGUUUUGGAUGGAAAGAUCAGGCAGCUUUAUCCAAAAUGCAUGGCAUAAUCAUUAGAGUUCACUGUUAUUUUUAAAUAAAUUUUUGUUUCUUUGUUUCAAAAGGGGACAUUCAUUGUCUUUUCUUUCUUCUGUUUAUUUUUGUUUUAUUUUUCUUGAGUCAGUCAUCCAAAUAAAAAUUAUCAUUCUUUUUCUUUUCUUGUCUUUGAGUCAAGUCUGUGUCAAAACAAGUUAGAAAAGAUUACAAAACUAUCUACAAGCUUAUUUAAUUGCACAAAGCAAGACAAAAGUUAACACAUGAAAAAGACAUGAUUGUGAGCCGAAAAAAGGGGCAUGCAUAAAAUUUUGUCAAUAGACAAGUUGGGGAACUCAUGGAAAUACCAAGUUUCAAAGGGUCUAUCUGAGAAGCAUGGCAAAGUAGAGAUACUGUGUUUGUUUUAGAGUCACUAUUAAUAAUUUGAGUUCGGGUUAAUGAAGCAGCAAGUCAAUGGCAUAUGCUAAUGGUUGGAAGUAAGGUUAAAUGUGACGAGGGAAAGAAAAAUCACCACGAAAGCCAAAGCCACAAACCAGCCAUCUUGCUUUUAAACUCUCAACUUUUCUUUGCAUGAAACAGGAACACAUGUUACCUUCAAAUCAAGGAUUUCAAAGCCUAAACAUCAAGGCCCGUAAUUUCUCGCUUUUACAAAUGCAGGAAGCAAUAUUGCUGCACAGGUUUGAUAAUUAAAUCAUGGUAAAAAUUCAUCAUCUUAUAUCCCUUGGAGACACACUUUCUUGUCCAGGGAUUUCAGUUUUCAUUUGCUGAGUGAUACACUUCUUAAAUUGAACCUUGACCCCUAUAAGACGUACCUUUUAGUCGAGUCAUCCCCUUUGACUCCUAUAAGACGUACCUUUUAGUCAAGUCGUUCCUUUGAUUCCUAUAAGACGUACGUUUUAGUCGAGUCAUUCCCUUUGAUUCCUAUAAGACAAACCUUUUAGUUGAGUCAUCUCCCUUGAUUCCUAGAAGACGUACCUUUUAGUCAAGUCGUUCCUUUGAUUCCUAUAAGACGUACCUUUUAGUCGAAUUAUCCCCCUUGGUUCCUAUAAGACGUACCUUUUAGUCGAGUCAUUCCCUUUGAUUCCUAUAAGACGUACCUUUUAGUCGAGUCAUCUCCCUUUGAUUACUAUAAGUCAUACCUUUUAGUCGAGUCAUUCCCUUUGAUUCUUAUAAGGCAUACCUUUUAGUCGAGUCAUCUCCCUUUGAUUCCUAUAAAACGUACCUUUUAGUUGAGUCAUAUCCCUUAGAUUCCUAUAAGACGUACCUUUUAGUCGAUUCAUCCCUUGGAUUACUAUAAGACGUAAAUUUUAGUCGAGUCAUUCCACUUGACCCAUAGAAGACGUACCUUUUAGUUGAGUCAUUCCCUUUGACCCCUAGAAGACGUACCUUUUAGUCAAGUCAUUCCUUGUGAUUCCUAUAAGACGUACCUUUUAGUCAAUUCAUUUCCUUUGAUUCCUAUAAGACGUACCUUUUAGUGGAGUCAUUCCCUUUGAUUUCUAUAAUGAUGUGACUUUCACAAAAUUCCUUUGAUGAUAAGCUAGGGCAAAAUUUAAUUCUUGUGUUUGGAACUUCACUUUUAUGGCAAAUGAAACCUCUUUAUAAUAAUCUUUGUUGGGAGAAUUUUCUUUUUAGUUUUGAUGUGAUUUCAGGAGCCCUCCUGGAGAACAGGAUGAAGAAAUGAAAAGUCAAGCAACAAAGUGAAGAAGUUGAAAGUCAAGCAACAACAUGAAAAGUUGAAAGUUAACAGAUUGAAAAAUAGCAAGUCAGGAGCCCGCCUGAAGAAUAGGGUAAAGAAAUUGAAAUUUAAGCAAUGAGGUGAAACAAUUGAAAGACAAACGACAAGUUGAUGAACUUGCAAAUCAGGAGCCCGCCUGAAGAAUAGGGUAAGGAAAUUACAAGUCGAGAUCCCGCCUGAAGAACAGGGUGAUGACAUGGCAAGUCAGAAGCCCGCCUGAAGCACAGGGUGAAUAAAUGGAAAGUUAAGCAACAAGGUGAAGCAAUUGAAGACCAAGCAACAAGUGAUGGAAUUGCAAGUCAGGAGCCCGGCUAAAGAAUAGGGUGAUGAAACUUAAGUCAGGAGUCCAACAGAAGCUGUAUAGAUAGGAUUUUGUAAUUUCAUUUUUGUUUUUACUUGUAAUUUUCAUUUUGAUGUAAUGACAGACUCGCGGAACGGAACCUCAAUGGCACCUCACUCGACUCUCCAACUCGGUAUAGUCCAUUUCCUUCCAAUCCUUUGAGAUGCGUGUCAACUGAUUCCUUCAUAACUUGGGUAGGUAGGAUGUCCUAAGUCAAGAUCCGGUUGCUCUUCUUCCUUCUGUUUCUUUCCUUAAAUAAUGGUCGGGUCAAAAUUUAGUCUCGUUAUCUACUUCUUUGUCUGAAAAUACUUCGUGUUUACAUUCAAAGGGGGCAUGAUGUAGACACCUAAUUUUGUUCCUCCGAAAAAUUAGUGUUCUUAUUUUUUACUUUAUCUUAUCGUGUACCCUCACCCAUGUAAUUAUACCCCACAAAAGUACAAAAUAACAAAAAUUCAAUAAAUCCCUAACCUUAUCCUAACAAACUUUAUCCUAUACCCUACCACCUAACCCACGUCAACCCCCCUUAAACUCAUUCACAUAUUUUUCUCAUCUUUUCUAUAACAAAAAGGAAGGAAACAAAAAAAAGGGCCCCCACAGAAGAUGUCGUAUCCCUGACUAUUUUAUCAUAUACAAUCUAUAAACACCUUCUUCUCACAGAAAUGAGGGGACCUUCAUAUACCUUCAUGGAAUGAAAUAAGGGGAACCCAUAUGCAUACAAGACCUUCCCAGAAUACCCACCCAUACACAAAAUUUUCCACCCAGCAACAUGAUUGAACAGACAUACCCUUUUCUUCAUACAUCAAUACACACACAUAAGGUAUAAAAUGAAAAAGGAGAUACUCAAUCACUUGAUUCUCUUUGAUUCACCACCGUACACCUAUAUACUACACUCAGAAAUCUCGCACACACACACAUCAAAUAGAGAGAUGGGUGGAGAGUAGCAAAAGGAGAGAGACUAGAUCAAGAGGCACUGCUGGUUAGCACUUUCAGGCGACUGAUUUGGUCAUUUUCUGUUUCUACGGGCUAAAAAUCCACUAUGGUCCAAAUACAUCCUAAAAUCCCUCUAUUCCUCUUUGAUUUCUGAGUUGGAUCCGGUUGGAAAACAACAAGGUUCGUUGAAAACCGUCUCGGGUUGUCGUUCUCUACUUUCGUCUGAGCUCAUCAAAGCUGAAGCCACAUUUUUUAGUCUUUCUGAGUCUUCGGGUUCGUCUUCUUUGUGGUUCAUUUUUGAUACUGCGCAUUGGGGUUUUUUGGGUUUGUCUGAUUUUGUAUUCUGUCCCCGGGAUCGAGCUUUGGGGAUUCAUCGAUUUUGUUCCUGUUUUGGGGUUUUAUUCUUGGUUGAAAUCAUAUCAGUUGGUACUCUUGGAUUAUUGGUUUGGUGAGUUCAUCGUUGGGGUUCCGUGUUGGAGGCUUUCGGUCUCGGACUUCUUUAUUAUCUACGAGAACGUUUUAUUGAGGUCCAUUUCUUUAACCCGUUCUCUUCUUCAUUUUGAUUGGUUGCAUUGGCUAUGGUUACGUGUUGGUUGAUUAUGAUGACUUGAUUUCAUUGAUAUGAUUUUGUUGUUUAAAUUCAUUACUAAAAUGAGCAUGGAUUGUUGAAAUGGUGAUUGCUAUUUGUGGCGUUUAGAAUGGAUUUGGG
This 12498-nucleotide long non-coding RNA is filed under the name Capsicum annuum. Its description in RNAcentral is "long non-coding RNA (CANN_LNC005714)". The record is from RNAcentral. Lineage: Eukaryota; Viridiplantae; Streptophyta; Magnoliopsida; Solanales; Solanaceae.